RNAcentral lists this long non-coding RNA (682 nucleotides) under Mytilus galloprovincialis (Mediterranean mussel). The record is from RNAcentral. Lineage: Eukaryota; Metazoa; Mollusca; Bivalvia; Mytilida; Mytilidae.
AAACCUAUGAAAAGUCUAGAGAGAUAUAUAGAAUAAUAGGUAGUUUUGUUUUUGAUACUGACUAUAUCAUGUGGAAUAUCUGGACGAGCCUGUUAGGGCGAGUUAAGAUAUUCCACAUGAUAUAGUCAGUAUCAAGAACGAAACUACCUACUAUUCCGUUUAUCGGUAAUUAUGACGUCACGUAAUGUAUUGCCUAAUAUUUUCAGUGAGACAGCAAGUACUUUGAUACUCGAAAAUAUUAGGCAGUAAUAUCAAAGGGAAAUUCUAAUGCAACAAUGUUUGAAACUUUCAUUUUGAUUGGAUAACGUCACUUAUUUCCAUGGCAUCAAUCAAUAGUGAUGCUAUGAGAUAACAAUAUUGUAUUAAAGCUCAGACGGCAUCAAUUGGGGAUUUGAUGGUCACAAAUACAAGUUUACUGCCUCUGCUAACGCGUCGCUAGUAAACUUUAUUUGCAACCAUCAAAUCUCCAAUUGUUGCUGUCGGAGCUUAAAAUACAAUACAGUUAUCUCCUAAAUAUACGAAUUACCGAUAAAUCAUUUUCCCACCAAAAUCCUAUGGCUGAUAUCUCAAAUACUAGCACAUUUACUCCUAUAUUUGUUUUGAUUUUAGAUUCCUUAAUUAAUCCCUAUCAAUAUAUAUUAGUGUUAUGGAAAGAUAUUUAUUUUGAAAAUUAGCAACCAAC